UGGUACACCGUCUUAGACCUCAAGGAUGC
This 29-nucleotide non-coding RNA is filed under the name Rattus norvegicus (Norway rat). The record is from RNAcentral. Lineage: Eukaryota; Metazoa; Chordata; Mammalia; Rodentia; Muridae.